This 888-nucleotide ribosomal RNA is filed under the name Rhizoctonia solani. RNAcentral's name for it is "bacterial SSU rRNA". It matches the Rfam family "Bacterial small subunit ribosomal RNA", at positions 8 to 916 of the family's 1533-position model. The record is from RNAcentral. Lineage: Eukaryota; Fungi; Basidiomycota; Agaricomycetes; Cantharellales; Ceratobasidiaceae.
AGAGUUUGAUCCUGGCUCAGGAUGAACGCUAGCGGCGGGCUUAAUACAUGCAAGUCAAGGGGUAGCAAUACACCGGCGUACGGGUGCGUAACGCGUAUGGAACCUGCCCUUAUCUGGGGGAUAACUCGGGGAAACUCGAGCUAAUACCGCAUAAGAUAGUAAAGAGGCAUCUCUUAGCUAUUAAAGAUUUAUCGGAUAAGGAUGGCCAUGCGUAAGAUUAGAUAGUUGGCGAGGUAACGGCUCACCAAGUCUACGAUCUUUAGGGGCUCUGAGAGGAGAAUCCCCCANACUGGCACUGAGAUACGGGCCAGACUCCUACGGGAGGCAGCAGUAGGGAAUAUUGGGCAAUGGGCGGAAGCCUGACCCAGCCACGCCGCGUGCAGGAAGACGGCCCUCUGGGUUGUAAACUGCUUUUAACUGGGAAGAAAGCAGCUCAUGCGUGAGAAUUUGACGGUACCAGUUGAAUAAGCCACGGCUAACUACGUGCCAGCAGCCGCGGUAAUACGUAGGUGGCGAGCGUUAUCCGGAUUUAUUGGGUUUAAAGGGAGCGUAGGCGGCUGAUUAAGUCAGCGGUGAAAGGUAGCAGCUUAACUGUUUUACAUGCCGUUGAUACUGGUUAGCUUGAGUUGACAGAAGGCAGAUAGAAUUCCUGGUGUAGCGGUGAAAUGCUUAGAUACCAGGAGGAAUACCGAUUGCGAAGGCAGUCUGCUGCAGUCACACUGACGCUGAGGCUCGAAGGUGCGGGGAUCAAACAGGAUUAGAUACCCUGGUAGUCCGCACAGUAAACGAUGAUUACUAGAUGUUGGCCAAGCCAGUGUCCAAGGGAAACCGAUAAGUAAUCCACCUGGGGAGUACGCCGGCAACGGUGAAACUCAAAGGAAUUGACGG